This 535-nucleotide small RNA is filed under the name Pongo abelii (Sumatran orangutan). RNAcentral describes it as "processed transcript". Lineage: Eukaryota; Metazoa; Chordata; Mammalia; Primates; Hominidae. The record is from RNAcentral.
AUGGAGCCCUCAGUGGGAUGAGGGUGAAACUGCUAUUGCCUGCUUCUGCUGUGUUCCCGCCUCAGCAUGCUGGUGCAUUUAUUUCGGGUCGGGAUUCGGGGUGGCCCAUUCCCAGGCAGGCUGCUACCGCCCCUCCGCUUCCAGACAUUCUCAGCUGUCAGUGACACUCCAGUCGCCAGCAGGAGGCUCCUGCGUCUGCAGCCGCGUGUCAGCCAGAAGGAGGGGACGCUCGGGGUCAGUGACCACGCCCAGUCAGCACUCCCGACCAGGGGUCGCCUUUCCUGGCCCUGGAGAAACACAUGGCGUAAUGGGAAAACUGGACAGUUACACAAGGCAGAAGGAGACUGUGGAGAGGGAGCAUGUGUCAUGGCGCCCCAGGCCAGGGAGGGGAGGUAGGGUAAUGGGCCUGGGACAUCAGAAGACAUGGCACGCUGGCAGAGUAGAGCCAGCCUGGGUGCUGGAGUCAGACUUCAGACUUGGUUCCCUGCUCGUCCCAGUUCUGCUGCCUGGGGACAAGUUAUUUCAGCUCUCUUAG